RNAcentral lists this ribosomal RNA (1529 nucleotides) under Shigella flexneri SFJ17B. RNAcentral's name for it is "16S ribosomal RNA". The record is from RNAcentral. Lineage: Bacteria; Pseudomonadati; Pseudomonadota; Gammaproteobacteria; Enterobacterales; Enterobacteriaceae.
AGGUGAUCCAACCGCAGGUUCCCCUACGGUUACCUUGUUACGACUUCACCCCAGUCAUGAAUCACAAAGUGGUAAGCGCCCUCCCGAAGGUUAAGCUACCUACUUCUUUUGCAACCCACUCCCAUGGUGUGACGGGCGGUGUGUACAAGGCCCGGGAACGUAUUCACCGUGGCAUUCUGAUCCACGAUUACUAGCGAUUCCGACUUCAUGGAGUCGAGUUGCAGACUCCAAUCCGGACUACGACGCACUUUAUGAGGUCCGCUUGCUCUCGCGAGGUCGCUUCUCUUUGUAUGCGCCAUUGUAGCACGUGUGUAGCCCUGGUCGUAAGGGCCGAUGAUGACUUGACGUCAUCCCACCUUCUCCAGUCUAUCACUGGCAGUCUCCUUUGAGUUCCCGGCCGGACCGCUGGCAACAAAGGAUAAGGGUUGCGCUCGUUGCGGGACUUAACCCAACAUUUCACAACACGAGCUGACGACAGCCAUGCAGCACCUGUCUCACGGUUCCCGAAGGCACAUUCUCAUCUCUGAAAACUUCCGUGGAUGUCAAGACCAGGUAAGGUUCUUCGCGUUGCAUCGAAUUAAACCACAUGCUCCACCGCUUGUGCGGGCCCCCGUCAAUUCAUUUGAGUUUUAACCUUGCGGCCGUACUCCCCAGGCGGUCGACUUAACGCGUUAGCUCCGGAAGCCACACCUCAAGGGCACAACCUCCAAGUCGACAUCGUUUACAGCGUGGACUACCAGGGUAUCUAAUCCUGUUUGCUCCCCACGCUUUCGCACCUGAGCGUCAGUCUUCGUCCAGGGGGCCGCCUUCGCCACCGGUAUUCCUCCAGAUCUCUACGCAUUUCACCGCUACACCUGGAAUUCUACCCCCCUCUACGAGACUCAAGCUUGCCAGUAUCAGAUGCAGUUCCCAGGUUGAGCCCGGGGAUUUCACAUCUGACUUAACAAACCGCCUGCGUGCGCUUUACGCCCAGUAAUUCCGAUUAACGCUUGCACCCUCCGUAUUACCGCGGCUGCUGGCACGGAGUUAGCCGGUGCUUCUUCUGCGGGUAACGUCAAUGAGCAAAGGUAUUAACUUUACUCCCUUCCUCCCCGCUGAAAGUACUUUACAACCCGAAGGCCUUCUUCAUACACGCGGCAUGGCUGCAUCAGGCUUGCGCCCAUUGUGCAAUAUUCCCCACUGCUGCCUCCCGUAGGAGUCUGGACCGUGUCUCAGUUCCAGUGUGGCUGGUCAUCCUCUCAGACCAGCUAGGGAUCGUCGCCUAGGUGAGCCGUUACCCCACCUACUAGCUAAUCCCAUCUGGGCACAUCCGAUGGCAAGAGGCCCGAAGGUCCCCCUCUUUGGUCUUGCGACGUUAUGCGGUAUUAGCUACCGUUUCCAGUAGUUAUCCCCCUCCAUCAGGCAGUUUCCCAGACAUUACUCACCCGUCCGCCACUCGUCAGCGAAACAGCAAGCUGUUUCCUGUUACCGUUCGACUUGCAUGUGUUAGGCCUGCCGCCAGCGUUCAAUCUGAGCCAUGAUCAAACUCU